Molecule: non-coding RNA, 138 nt
Organism: Ornithorhynchus anatinus (platypus)
Lineage: Eukaryota; Metazoa; Chordata; Mammalia; Monotremata; Ornithorhynchidae
Source: Rfam
CACCUCUCAGGAUCUCAUCUGGAGAGUUUCUCAUACUCUACCAGUCUCGAUUUGGGGAGAGAGAGUCAAGCAGAGGCCUAUCCAUUCCAUUCUUAGCUUGGGCAGUGGCUAGCGAAUGGAAGGCAAUCUGCUACAAGU